CCUACGGGAGGCUGCAGUGAGGAAUAUUGGUCAAUGGACGAGAGUCUGAACCAGCCAAGUAGCGUGAAGGAUGACUGCCCUAUGGGUUGUAAACUUCUUUUAUGUGGGAAUAAAACGUUCCACGUGUGGGAUUUUGUAUGUACCAUAUGAAUAAGGAUCGGCUAACUCCGUGCCAGCAGCCGCGGUAAUCCGGAGGAUCCGAGCGUUAUCCGGAUUUAUUGGGUUUAAAGGGAGCGUAGGUGGUUUGUUAAGUCAGUUGUGAAAGUUUGCGGCUCAACCGUAAGAUUGCAGUUGAAACUGGCAGUCUUGAGUACAGUAGAGGUGAGCGGAAUUCGUGGUGUAGCGGUGAAAUGCUUAGAUAUCACGAAGAACUCCGAUUGCGAAGGCAGUUCACUGGACUGUAACUGACACUGAGGCUCGAAAGUGAGGGUAUCAAACAGGAUUAGAUACCCUUGUAGUC
This 460-nucleotide ribosomal RNA is filed under the name uncultured bacterium. RNAcentral's name for it is "partial 16S ribosomal RNA". It matches the Rfam family "Bacterial small subunit ribosomal RNA", at positions 338 to 795 of the family's 1533-position model. The record is from RNAcentral.